GUGAAGGACCUGCAGGGAGAACCUGAUCUCUACCAAACAUGAGCUGCUUCGAGUGCCAGCUUAUUAAAAGGGAAACGACAUGAAGUGGAUAGAGAGAGGGGGAGAGAGAGAGAGCUCUCAUUCACAGCCUUUCACUACAGUUGGGUCCUGGCCUAAUGGCAUAUAGUGAUGUGCGCCGGUGGAACCGGCGUCCAGGGCAGGGCCGUAAAGUGGGGGGGCCAAUGGCCCCCUGGCCCCCCCUGUUCCGGAGCCCCUUCAUCUAUUGCAGGUUGACUGGAUGAAGGUUUAAAUCCAGAGGUGAGCUGUGACUGUAGAACACAAGCGCAACAAAAUGGCCGUGCAGGAUUCCACGGUUGCUGUGUUUUUCUUCAGGUGCAUCAUUUCUAUCAGGUCAUCAUUUCAAAACAAACAAAGCCCGAAACUGUGAACACUAGAGAUUUUACCGAUUUCACUCGUCAACUUCUGUAGAUUUUUGUUUUUCUUGAAGACUUUUUCACUCCGGAUGACAACGAACGAGCCACUGAGACUGACAGACACACAACCGACCUCCAACAUGGAACAUUGUGACCUUCCCAUCCACCUGCGAGACCACGACUCCGGCAGCCGCAGGAGAAGCUCUGCCAUCGGGCACACGGUUCCUGGAGCAAGUGUCCAUGCUGCGGGAACGAGCAGGUUGGACAUGUGGAGGAAAACACACCGUUCGUCUCUGAUGGAGAUGUUUCUCUUGUCAGACUGUGAAAGUAUUCUGUUGAUAAGUAACAAGCUGACCAGCUUGACAUCCUCUCGUGUGCUGCUGACCUCCUCCAGGUGAAUUUAACCCCGGGGCCCCAUCAGCACUCCGCUAGUAAGGCCAAACUUCCCCGGAAAGAGGAAGCAGAGCUCUGCGUCCCGUCCUUCUUCACCUUCUGCUCGUGGUCCAGGGGAGAGGAGUUUGGUCCCAGCGCCUCCAUCCACCAUCCCACCUGCUGACCGGCCCGUGGCGUCCAACAACGUGCCCCCCGGCCCACCUGCCAACCAGCUGAGCUCCACUGGUGUGAACCGCUCCGGUCUACUGAAGAUACACAACUGCUCAGUGGAAGAUUACCAGAGAGUCUAAAGGGGGGUGCACACAUAAGGAUUCUAUAAAUCUUAAGAGAUUUUUUAUCUGUAGAGCCCCCACACAUGCUUUGAUCGUACCGUGUGUGGUGUGCUCCGAUAUUCUCAGCACAGGACACCACACACAUAAAGAUUAUCUGUCUCACGGCCGAUCUAGAAUCUAGUCCUCUGAGCCAGAAAUAUCGCGUGAUUAAUUGUGAUCUACAGUAACCAAUGGCCAUGACAUCAUCAACCCAUCAAGAUGGACUCACACGUGGACGUCUGGUACGGGGGUGGAGUCUCUCCUCCCCUCUAUGAUGUAGACACUCUGGGAGAAGCGAGCCCUGGACAGCCUCCACCUAAAAGAGCCAAGAAGCCAAGAACCUAACCCUGACUGACCUGAGAGCAGCAGCUUCACUCUAACACUUUGUAAUAACAGUUCAAUGAGUUCAAAUCCAGCCUGUAAAUAUUAGAGACUUAUACACAACUGGCUUCAUUUACAUCAGUACAUUCAGCCUCCGUCAGUAAUCAAGGCUCCACCUCGAACACCACCUAUGCCGCCUGCCAAGACACAACCUCUGAGAGCCAUCUGGAGUAAGAGGCUCCAUCCUCCACCUACAAGUCUCCUCCAGUCACUUAAAUCUAAACCGUGCCUUCUUACUACAUCAGCCAGCUGCUCUAGCCUCCACCUGCAGCUGCAAACAGACAUACUCCACCCAAAUCAACAGGCAAGAACAUCCACUGCCAGCCCCGCCUGUAAAUUCUUGUAGUCAGCUACAACCUGAUUCAUCCAAUUGCAGCUGCUUCCAACUCCUGCCUCCACCUGCUACCUCUGCCAGUAACCUGCAGUCACCACCUCCACCUGCAGAUACUGGCAGAAAGCUAAGACCUCAACCUCCACCUUCGACCUUUUACAAAACCCUACACUGCUGCCUCCACCUGUAGAUUUUUUGCAAGGAGACAUAUUACAAGCCUCCACCUAAAUCCUCUUCUAGCAACCUGCAGUUUCCUCCACCUAACUACAGCCUCUGCCAGGAACCUGCAGCCACCAGCUCCACCUACAGAUUCUAGCAGACAAUGGCAACAACUCCACCUACAGCCUCUGCCAGCAACAUCCACUGCAACCUCCACCUGUGGAUUCUGACAGAUUGCUGCAACCUAUGUCCUCCAGCUAAAGUCCAAACUGAGUCUUCGUCUAGAAAUCUCCACCUCUGACUCCACCUAAAGUAUCUUCCAUCUUUCUGCCUACAGUCUCUGCCAGUAACCUGUUGUUACCUCCUCCAACAGAUUCUGGAAGACCGAUGACGCCUCAGCCUCCACCUCCACCUCAACCUCCACCAUCAGCUUUAAAAACCUGCUGCCUCCACCUGUCAAUUUGUGUCAACAAGAGCAACACAAGCCUCCACCUUAAUCUCCACCAUCAACCUGCAGACUAGCUCCACCUGAAGACUCUGGUUGAAAAGCUCAGCUAAAACCUCCACCUAAAGUGUCUUCUACCUUCAGCCUACAUCCUCUGCCAGUAACCUGUUGUUUCCUCCACCUACAGAUUCUGGAAGACAAGUAACACCUCUACCUCCACCACCAUCCUCGACUGAUAUACCAAUACUGCUGCCUCCAUCAGUCAGUUGAUCUGUGCUGACAAACACAAGCCUCCACCUAAAGCCUCUGCCAGGAACCUGCAGCUGCCUCCUCCACCUGCAGAUUCUGGUAGACCACUGCAGCCCAAACCUCCACCUAAAGUGUCUUCCAUCUUCUGCUGACAGCUUCUGCCUGUAACCUUUUUCUGCCUCCACCCACAGAUUUUGGAAGACCACUGAAGCCUCCACCUCCAACAUCCAUCCUCAGCUGAAAAACAACCACAAUGCCUUCAUCAGAUUUGCGCAGACAGACACAAGCCACCACCUAAAGUCUCUGCCAGCAACAUGCAGUGGCGAACUCCACCUGCAGAGGCUGUGACCUAAACUCCACCUUUAGCCUCUGCCAGUAACCUCAAAUCAUCAAAACACUGAGGUAAGCCACACAUCGUUAUUUCUUAAGAGGGCCAAUAAAAUAUCAGCCGACAUCAUUCUCUUCUCAAUGAAUUAUUUUAAAAUAGUCCAGCCGAAGACGCUGAUGUUUCAUGUGUCAUUAUAACAAAGCUUGUCGAUGUGAAAGUAGUCGUAUGUAUCCUCAUACAGGCCCCACAGGAUAUGUAGCCCCAGUUACACCUUUACACCUAAAGGUGCCUUAAUGUCUGUUUGUUGACAAGGGUUUUCACAUUUGUAUGAUCAUUUGAAAUUAUUGUGAUAAUGACACUGAAAUGAUAAUGAGUAAUGAUACUUUAGGCAACAUACUGGUUUAGAU
Molecule: long non-coding RNA, 3417 nt
Filed under: Sparus aurata (gilthead seabream)
Lineage: Eukaryota; Metazoa; Chordata; Actinopteri; Spariformes; Sparidae
Description: lncRNA (ENSSAUG00010019453.1)
Source: RNAcentral